UACGAAGGGGGCUAGCGUUGCUCGGAAUCACUGGGCGUAAAGCGCACGUAGGCGGCUUGUUAAGUCAGGGGUGAAAUCCUGGAGCUCAACUCCAGAACUGCCUUUGAUACUGGCGAGCUUGAGUUCGGGAGAGGUGAGUGGAACUGCGAGUGUAGAGGUGAAAUUCGUAGAUAUUGAGAGGAACACCGGUGGCGAAGGCGGCCAACUGGACAGAUACUGACGCUGAGACACGAAAGCGUGGGGAGCAAACAGG
Molecule: ribosomal RNA, 253 nt
Filed under: uncultured bacterium
Lineage: Bacteria
Description: partial 16S ribosomal RNA
Rfam family: Bacterial small subunit ribosomal RNA
Source: RNAcentral